This 775-nucleotide ribosomal RNA is filed under the name uncultured Neocallimastigales. RNAcentral describes it as "partial large subunit ribosomal RNA". It matches the Rfam family "Eukaryotic large subunit ribosomal RNA", at positions 22 to 639 of the family's 3401-position model. Lineage: Eukaryota; Fungi; Neocallimastigomycota; Neocallimastigomycetes; Neocallimastigales. The record is from RNAcentral.
GUACACGCUGUGACUAGCAUAUCAAUAAGCGGAGGAAAAGAAACUAACAAGGAUUCCCCUAGUAACGGCGAGUGAAGCGGGAAGAGCUCAAAUUUGAAAUCUUAAAGGGUUUCCCUUUACGAAUUGUAGUUUAAAGAAGUGUUUUCUGUUGAGGUUUUGGUAAAAGUUCUUUGGAAUAGGACAUCAUAGAGGGUGAGAAUCCCGUAUUUGACCUUUACUUUCAACUUUGUGAUACACUUUCAAAGAGUCGGAUUGUUUGGGAAUGCAGUCCAAAAUGGGUGGUAAAUUUCAUCUAAAGCUAAAUAUUGGCGAGAGACCGAUAGCGAACAAGUACCGUGAGGGAAAGAUGAAAAGAACUUUGAAAAGAGAGUUAAACAGUACGUGAAAUUGUCAAAAGGGAAGCGUUUGACACCAGUGUUGUUUUUCUGAAAAUCAAUUAAAGAACUGUUUAUGCUAAGCUGUUUAGACUUUAUCAGCUAUCUGUUUAGUUUUGAGCUUUUCUUUAAUGCACUUUUCAGUUAACAAGUCAACAUCAAUUUCUUUUGCUGUAAAAAAGCUUGAGGAAGGUGGCUUGAGAUUCGUCUUAAGUGUUUAUAGCCUCUUGCCUAUGCAGUCGGAGAGAUUGAGGUCUGCAGCGUAGAUCCUUCGGGGCUAAAUGCAAUUUGAGCUAAGUUAUAGCAUUUUAUAGACAACUUGUUGACUAUGAUUUGUCUUGUAGCUUACUCGCUUAUGUUAUUUUACCUACGCUUAGGAUGUUGACGCGCGUGUGUGCGUG